RNAcentral lists this ribosomal RNA (503 nucleotides) under uncultured bacterium. RNAcentral describes it as "partial 16S ribosomal RNA". It matches the Rfam family "Bacterial small subunit ribosomal RNA", at positions 30 to 523 of the family's 1533-position model. The record is from RNAcentral.
AUUGAACGCUGGCGGCAGGCUUAACACAUGCAAGUCGAGCGGGGUGAUGGUGCUUGCACUAUCACUUAGCGGCGGACGGGUGAGUAAUGCUUAGGAAUCUGCCUAUUAGUGGGGGACAACAUCUCGAAAGGGAUGCUAAUACCGCAUACGUCCUACGGGAGAAAGCAGGGGAUCACUUGUGACCUUGCGCUAAUAGAUGAGCCUAAGUCGGAUUAGCUAGUUGGUGGGGUAAAGGCCUACCAAGGCGACGAUCUGUAGCGGGUCUGAGAGGAUGAUCCGCCACACUGGGACGGGGACACGGCCCAGACUCCUACGGGAGGCAGCAGCGGGGAAUAUUGGACAAUGGGGGGAACCCUGAUCCAGCCAUGCCGCGUGUGUGAAGAAGGCCUUAUGGUUGUAAAGCACUUUAAGCGAGGAGGAGGCUCUUUUGGUUAAUACCCAAGAUGAGUGGACGUUACUCGCAGAAUAAGCACCGGCUAACUCUGUGCCAGCAGCCGCAGUAA